RNAcentral lists this ribosomal RNA (305 nucleotides) under uncultured bacterium. RNAcentral describes it as "bacterial SSU rRNA". It matches the Rfam family "Bacterial small subunit ribosomal RNA", at positions 337 to 634 of the family's 1533-position model. The record is from RNAcentral.
GCCUACGGGGGGCAGCAGUAGGGAAUCUUCCACAAUGGGCGAAAGCCUGAUGGAGCAACGCCGCGUGGGUGAAGAAGGUCUUCGGAUCGUAAAACCCUGUUGUUAGAGAAGAAAGUGCGUGAGAGUAACUGUUCACGUUUCGACGGUAUCUAACCAGAAAGCCACGGCUAACUACGUGCCAGCAGUCGCGGUAAUACGUAGGUGGCAAGCGUUAUCCGGAUUUAUUGGGCGUAAAGGGAACGCAGGCGGUCUUUUAAGUCUGAUGUGAAAGCCUUCGGCUUAACCGGAGUAGUUCAUUGGAAACG